AUUGAACGCUGGCGGCAUGCCUUACACAUGCAAGUCGAACGGCAGCACGGGGGCAACCCUGGUGGCGAGUGGCGGACGGGUGAGUAAUGCAUCGGAACGUGCCCUGAAGUGGGGGAUAACGCAGCGAAAGCUACGCUAAUACCGCAUAUUCUGUGAGCAGGAAAGCAGGGGAUCGCAAGACCUUGCGCUUUGGGAGCGGCCGAUGUCGGAUUAGCUAGUUGGUGGGUAAAGGCCUACCAAGGCGACGAUCCGUAGCGGGUCUGAGAGGAUGAUCCGCCACACUGGGACUGAGACACGGCCCAGACUCCUACGGGAGGCAGCAGUGGGGAAUUUUGGACAAUGGGCGAAAGCCUGAUCCAGCCAUGCCGCGUGAGUGAAGAAGGCUCGGUUGUAAG
This 395-nucleotide ribosomal RNA is filed under the name uncultured bacterium. RNAcentral describes it as "bacterial SSU rRNA". It matches the Rfam family "Bacterial small subunit ribosomal RNA", at positions 29 to 429 of the family's 1533-position model. The record is from RNAcentral.